UUUUUUUACAAAACCAAGCAAUGGUUUGGAUAUAUCUACCCGUUGAACGUGUUCGAGAUACAAUUAGUCGGUGAUCAAUGACGUGAUUAGCGGUUGUUAAUGACGAACAAGGCGACUGUUUUUUUUUAAGUAUUACUAGUAUAUAGGGAUGUCGCACGCAUUUCUCUUCCCGCGCCGGUGUGAGACAAUCUCUUCGUCAUGUAUAAUUUUGCAAUCCCACUGCUCGUUCAGGUAUUACUAGUUAACAAUAUAAUUGUCUGUUUAUUUACGGUCCAUUUUAGUUUUUUUUUACGCUGUCAUCCACACAACUCGAUCUAGCACGACAGGAGAGAACAAUACAGGAGAACAACAUAGGCACGCAAGUCUCCGUGGACGGUAAGCAACGGCACUAAUCUCACCGCCUUUCUCAAUUCACGCCCUACGCUGAAUCGGUGUACGUCU
This 441-nucleotide long non-coding RNA is filed under the name Sorghum bicolor (sorghum). Its description in RNAcentral is "long non-coding RNA (SBIC_LNC011198)". The record is from RNAcentral. Lineage: Eukaryota; Viridiplantae; Streptophyta; Magnoliopsida; Poales; Poaceae.